GUACGGAAGGCAGCAGCUAAGAAUCUUCCGCAAUGGGCGAAAGCCUGACGGAGCGACGCCGCGUGGACGAUGAAGGCGGGAACGUUGUAAAGUCCUUUUCUUGGUGAAGAAUAACAGGGGCAGGGAAUGGCCCUUGGAUGACGUUAACCGAGGAAUAAGCCCCGGCUAAUUACGUGCCAGCAGCCGCGGUAACACGUAUGGGGCGAGCGUUGUUCGGAAUUAUUGGGCGUAAAGGGCGCGUAGGCUGUUCUACAAGCCUGGUGUGAAAGGCUGCGGCUUAACCGCAGUUAUGCGCUGGGAACUGUAGGGCUAGAAUCCUAGAGGGGAAGCUGGAAUUCCUGGUGUAGGGGUGAAAUCUGUAGAUAUCAGGAAGAACACCGGUGGCGAAGGCGAGCUUCUGGCUAGUGAUUGACGCUGAGGCGCGAAAGCGUGGGGAGCAAACAGGAUUAGAUACCCUGGUAGC
This 463-nucleotide ribosomal RNA is filed under the name uncultured bacterium. RNAcentral describes it as "bacterial SSU rRNA". It matches the Rfam family "Bacterial small subunit ribosomal RNA", at positions 339 to 794 of the family's 1533-position model. The record is from RNAcentral.